This 428-nucleotide ribosomal RNA is filed under the name uncultured beta proteobacterium. RNAcentral's name for it is "bacterial SSU rRNA". It matches the Rfam family "Bacterial small subunit ribosomal RNA", at positions 67 to 486 of the family's 1533-position model. The record is from RNAcentral. Lineage: Bacteria; Pseudomonadati; Pseudomonadota; Betaproteobacteria.
CGGCAGCACGGAGAGCUUGCUCUCUGGUGGCGAGUGGCGAACGGGUGAGUAAUAUAUCGGAACGUGUCCAAUAAUGGGGGAUAACGAGUCGAAAGAUUCGCUAAUACCGCAUACGCCCUACGGGGGAAAGCAGGGGAUCGUAAGACCUUGCGUUAAUGGAGCGGCCGAUAUCUGAUUAGCUUGUUGGUGAGGUAAAGGCUCACCAAGGCGACGAUCAGUAGCUGGUUUGAGAGAACGACCAGCCACACUGGAACUGAGACACGGUCCAGACUCCUACGGGAGGCAGCAGUGGGGAAUUUUGGACAAUGGGGGCAACCCUGAUCCAGCCAUUCCGCGUGAGUGAAGAAGGCCUUCGGGUUGUAAAGCUCUUUCGCAAGGGAAGAAAACUUAUGAUCGAAUAAAUCAUGAGGUUGACGGUACCUUGAUAA